This 370-nucleotide ribosomal RNA is filed under the name uncultured eukaryote. Its description in RNAcentral is "partial 18S ribosomal RNA". It matches the Rfam family "Eukaryotic small subunit ribosomal RNA", at positions 592 to 976 of the family's 1831-position model. The record is from RNAcentral.
CAAUAGCGUAUAUUAAAGUUGUUGCAGUUAAAAAGCUCGUAGUUGGAUUUCUGGUCGGAAGCUCCUGUCCUCUGAUGAGCGUACAAGUGCGUCCUACCACCCUUCUGUUAACCUUUAAGGCUUUCGCGGCUUUCUAGGGGCUCAGAUAUUUUACCUUGAGAAAAUUAGAGUGUUUCAGGCAGGCUAGCGCCGGAAUACAUUAGCAUGGAAUAAUGGAAUAGGACUUUUGCCUCUUCUGUUGGUCAUGAGGCUCGAGUAAUGAUUAAUAGGGAUAGUUGGGGGCAUUAGUACUUAACUGUCAGAGGUGAAAUUCUCGGAUUUGUUAAAGACUAACUUAUGCGAAAGCAUUUGCCAAGGAUGUUUUCAUUAA